GAAAGGAAAGAACACAAACCCUAGGUGGGAAAAUUGAAGAAAAAGUGUGGGAUUUCAAGGGAUUAAGCUAAUAAAGGUAAAAUUUUGUGAUUUUAUCUUGUGAUUUACACUACCCAUGCUUUCUUUUUCAUUUUCCAUGCUUAGAACUCAAGUUUGCAUGAUGAACCCAUGCUGGCCGAAUUUGAGAGGAGAGGUUUUGAGCAUUGAUUUUGCUAGAUUUCAAGCUAAUUAAGUGUUUUUGGUUGUUUGGUAAUGGAAAGUAUGAAAAUCUAGCAAGGAAUCACUUUGUUCUUCACAAACCCACAAGAGGCCAAAUUUUCUAGGGAGGAUAUUGAGGCUGAAAUUGAUGAUAUUUCAUGAUAUUUUGGUGGUAUUUAAUGAUUGGUGAGGCUAGAAAUUUAAUGGGAAAUUUUGGCAUGAAAAUCUGAAUUUUUACCUAAUGUAUAGACAUGUGCGAUUUAUGGUUCGGACUGAUAAAUUGAAUCAUAUUCACAGUCAUUGAGGUAUUUUAAGUAUAAUUGGAGUGUAGAAAGUGAAAGAAAUCGAUUUGGAGUUAAAUUGGAGGUUUUAGCCAAUUACACCGAGAAUAGUGCGAAUUAGGUCGAAUACCGUAUUUAAACGACUAUUUGGACAUUUUACAUCACAUUUCGUGCAUUCAUAUAGAUUUAUAGAGCCUGAAAUAGUUUAUGAUAAAUUGAAACAAUUUAUUGAAAUUCGUGUCACGUAUGAUGUAUAAGUGGUGAGCCCUCUAACAAGGGUAAAGAGAUUGUGCCCGAAGAUCGGGAAUAUGAGUAUAUCGAACUCCUAGUACUGUGAGUAACCUUACUAUCAUCUUAAUUAUCUAAAGUGAUUUUUAUCCGAUUUUGUGAUUUUAUGAAAAAUGAGUUAAACGAUAAAUCCUUGUGUUUUGUAAUUAAAAUGUGAUUUCAUGAAAUGAUUUUAUAACAUUGUCUUGAAAUGAAAUGAUGGUUUUGAAAAUAGAGUAAUUGGAGACCAUUUGAUGCAUUGUGAAUUUAUGGUUCUAAUUUAUUGGCUUAUGACAAUAUUGGCAUGAAUGGCUGAAUUAGUAUUUGUGUUGAAAUGUAUAAACUGUUGUUUGCCUUGAUAGGCUGGAUAAUGAUAAAAGUAACCUUGUCAUGCUGUUGAAUUUUUAUUGUAUGGUGGGUUUAGUUUGCUGCAGUGGGCUAGUUUUGUGGACCAGCCUAUUAGAGGGGCACGGAACCUGGUCAUAUAUAUGUACCUCCAUUGGAGAGGCACGUAGGGUAACUCUCGAAGUCAAACUUUAGAGUUCACUUCACGCCAAACCACAACGUGAGGGUGAACUCGGCCAACGCCAAGGAACAGCUAUGUUUUCAAAAUAAAAAAAUGAUUUAUGCGUGCAUAACUUUUUAACAGCCUUGGCGGACUCAGUUUGGGAUAGCCCUCGACCAAGGUAUCCCUGAUGACUGAGUAUGAUAAUGAUUUUGGCAUGAGCUAAAGUUUUAAAAAAUUCAUAAGCCAUGUUAAUUACUCGAUUUAUAUGAAUUGAUUUUAUUUGGUUGAAACAAGUUGAAAGGUGAUGAAUUUCAGUAUGUUAAAUUGUUUUAUCUGUCUCCAUUUAAUCGACUUUAGAUGGUUUAGAUGGUAUCUAUUUACUCACUGGGAUUUUAUAAUCUCACCACCCUCCUUGUCAACCAUUUCAGGCCCGAGGUAGCUUGUGGAUAGCAGAUAUCGUCAAGGAUUAUAGUCGACUUUACUACUCCAAAAACUGUAAGUUUACUGCCUUUGUGCACUUUUGUUCCUUGUGCACCCACGAGUCACUGUAAAGUAAGUUUCAUAUCCUAGUUAUCUGUAUUAUAGUAUGUAUGAAUUUAUUUAGCUUUUAUAUUACAGAAAUUAUUUACCGAUGACUCUAUAGAUAUUGUUUUACAAGAAAUUAGAAUAUUUUAUUGAAUAUUUUUAUUUUAUUCAAAUAGUUGCAAUAUCAUUUUUAAUAAAUAUUUUAGACACCC
RNAcentral lists this long non-coding RNA (1991 nucleotides) under Theobroma cacao (cacao). RNAcentral describes it as "long non-coding RNA (TCAC_LNC005514)". Lineage: Eukaryota; Viridiplantae; Streptophyta; Magnoliopsida; Malvales; Malvaceae. The record is from RNAcentral.